UUCAAUUGCUGGUUAUAAUUGAUACAAUCACAAAUCCAAAUCAAUAAACCCAGAUCAACAAGAUGAAACAUAUCAGUUCAAUUGCGGCGUUUCUAGAAGUGAUUAUCAUGUCGUGCUGAUGAAUCUCAACCUCAGCCAAUCAACCGAUACUGCUUCCCACUUGACUUCGCUGCUUCUUCACAUGAGGAAACCCUAGAAGUGAAAUCUCAACCUCAGGGUCAAAGCUGCCUCUUAAAUGGGUCAAAAUUGUCUAAGAAAGUGGCUGCCUAUCAAUAUGGAGCAACAAAGGUGGAUACUGAUCUUGCUGGCUAACGGUUCUGGGAGCGAAAAGGAGAUCAAAAGGCCAUCGUAUGGCUUCAUUAUCGUACAUGGGAAAUUUGAGAUGAAUCUGAUUGAUGAACAAAAUCUCAGUUUACAGCAAUUUGUAGAAUCCUUAACCCUCUGUUUUCUUGAUGUGGACUGUCAAAAAAAAGUCACAAAUCCGGAUUGAGAAUAAAGUUCACGAUUACAUGAACUCACAAGCCAAAUUCGAAGACAAGAUGUGGGCGAAUCUGAAUGUCUGGCUGAUUGAAGAUCAACUAUGGAUAAUCUUUCUAGAGUCACUCACAAGAUGAAAGAUAUUGACAUCGACAUCCAGAUGGAUAGUCAGUUCUAAUGACACGUUGAAUUAUCGACACAAUGUAACCAGUAAGGUCAAAGAAAGAAGUGCAUCGUCGGGUCAGUUGAGCAAUGAGGAAAAGCCGAAUCGUCAAGAGAAUAAAAACCCAGAUGUCAAAGUUCAAAAGCCGAAAGAUGAAGCUUCGGAAACACUUCAAAAAGAGCAUAAAUGGUGAUUACACGGCGGAGCCGCCGGUUCAGAACAUAGUGGCUAAGGAUGUUCACGGGAAGUUGUGGAAGUUCCAGCAUAUUUACCGGGGUACGCCUCGCAGGCAUCUCUUGACAACUGGUUGGAGUAAUUUUGUCAACCAGAAGACGUUGGUGGCGGGUGAUUUGAUCGUGUUUUUGAGGGCGGAUAAUGGCGAUUUUUGUGUGGGGAUUCGAAGGGCGAAGAGGGAUUUCGGAAGGGGGUUUGUCGAGUCGAAUUGUUCCUGGUGGAAUGCUGCGAUUAGCGGGUUUGGGAAUUCCGGGAAGGUGAGUGAUACGGGUAAAUGAUCGAUGGUUUAGAUGGCAGUGGAUGGAGAUGUUGUUAGGAAUCAGUGGAUCCAUCAACAGUGGAUGAACAACAGAGGUUGUUAAUAACAGUGGAUUAGCAGCAGAGAGGUGGUUAGCUAACAGUGGAUCAGCAACAGAGGUUGUUAGUUAACAGGGGUUAGCAACAGAGGUUGUUAGUUAACAGGGGUUAGCAACAGAGGUUGUUAGUUAGUUGGGGUUAGCAACAGAGGUUUGUGUGGAGAAUCGUAUGCAACUGUUGUUUAAUGUUUUUGAUUUAAUUCGCUGUUCAUGUUGUUUGAGAGCACCAAUGGGAAAUUGUCGGACUAGAGGCGGAGUUGUCCGCGGGAAAAGAGAUUCUGGUGUACCCAAUGAGACUGGUGAGUAAGAUUCAGAAGUCGUCUUCUUCUCCAAUGGCUAUCUAGGUUGAUUUCUGUUACAGAUUGGGGUUUUUCAGUGUUUUUGAUAGAAGGUCAUUUAUUGAUCGGUUGCUGCGUUCUCAUAUUUUCGAAGUCGUUACACUUUGCGCAGAUGGAUUUUCAUAACACUGGAAGUGGGCCGAGUUCCUAGAUUAACAGAGGCCUUUGGUUUCACUAUUUCUUGAAUGAAAAAUGGAAGUGUCUUUGCAGAUCUAUGCAAAAGGAAGAAAAACAUGAGCACCCUCAUGUACCCUCCAUUUAAAAUCUGCGUAAAUGAUAGCAAGAUACUUCGAAAAUCUGGUGAGGGCACUAGAGAAUGGUCUUGCGGAUUUUGACUCGCACGAGGGUGCAGCAGGUGGUUCAAGUAGCAAGGUUAAAGUGCAGCAGGUGGCAUCAUGGAAGCCCUCAAAUUGGAAUCUAGUCCGAGAGUUGUGCCUAUGUCGUUUGUCACAACGUCUGGCCCGUUUUGCUGUUUUUGUCCAUGAGUUAUGGGCCCUGUAAGACGAGUAUGCCUAUCGCAAAUGUGUGCAAAGGUGGUGCAACGAGUAGGGAAACACCAUAUGCGAAAUUUGCCUCGAGCCAUUCAAGCCCGGAUAUACAUCACCACCUCCGUUAUUCCAUUGUGAUGGCAUUCCAAUGAAUUUCAGGGGUAAUUGGGAGAUUUCCGGUCGGGAUCUAUACAGUUUGCGGGUUUCAUCAAUGGGUUAUGCUGGUGAUGAUGAACCCAACUUUGAUGAGUAUAUCACUCUUAGCUCCAAAAGUUUGAUUUGUUGCUGUGUACUUGCUAUAAUUUUUAUGACUCUUCUCGUAUUGCGCCACGCUCUACCGAUCAUCAUCAAUGGAACACGAGGAUACACUGUAACCAUUUUUGGGUUAGUCUUGAUGUUGCGGGUUAUUACGGGUCAAGUACGGGUCGAGUUGGUUGACCGUUUAGUUUAAAUGGGUCACCAAGAAUAAGGCGGGUCAUCGGAGCAUGAUUACGGUUGCAGGUUUGAAUGGAUCAGGUCCAACUAAAGGUCAAGAGAUGUGUGGAUCUGAGUCAUGGUGGACGUUGAGGAUGACCGAGUCUUUUGGAAGCGCACGUGUGAUGCAAGUUACAAGUUGAACGUGGAGUGGUGGAGUUAAGUGUUUAUAGCAUAUUGCAAAAUUUCAUGUCAAUGAUUCAUGGCUGACUUCUUUUUCAGUUCCAAAGCCAAUCAACUGGAAUCGCAAACAACGAUCAUUCCAUCCCAGUUAUUUGUGUUACAAAUGAUGAAGAGUGGGAUCUCAAUAACAUUAAAGUUAACAAGGCCAGUUCCACCUCAAAUUAGGCCUUUGAAGCGGGUAACUCGAAAUAGAAGAACUGGGUUUUAUUUGACCUGUUUUAUGUUACAUCUGCAAUAGAAUCCGAUUUUGAUGUUAACCUUCCCGUUCACCGGACGGGUAAAGUACUAGCGAAGGUAAGGAGUCGAUGGUGUUGAAGAAGGUGGAUAGUCCGAAGCAAAAGCAGAAUUUGGGUGAGGUAACGAAAGUUGGGGGGAGGUGGAAGGCGCAAACGCCGGUUCACGAACAAUUUUACGUGCAAAAAAGAGCGGAAAAUGAAGUUGAAAAGAGGAGAUCGUAUCUACCAUAUAGAAAGGAUCUUGUAGGAUUGUUUGCAAAUGUCAACGGAAUGGGGAAAAUUCUUCCAUUCUAAUUUUGUUGUUAUGUAUCCUUUGUCAAGCAACUUGUGUCUUCAUGGAGUUGAGUUUACAUAGUUGACUUCUUUAGAAAGUCAAACUGUGUUCUCACUGAAGAAGAGUGGAUCUCGACACGAUGCUGGAUAUGAGGGUUUGGGGAUCCAGGGAGUAGUGUCGUCUACACGCCUCCAGCAUACCGAAAGAUCAGUGUAAACUCUACAGAUGGUGUUCUUUCAGAGGUUCACUUGAGUCUUGUCUGUCAGGUAUGAGAUGCAGGAUCUUCAUUUUGCGGAAACACUUCUUCAGAUGGUUACACUUUCUGAGGUUUACAUGGUAUAUGAGUAGCAGCAGCCGCCUCUACACUGCUGUUCUAAUUUAUUUGUUUGUCAUGGAUCAUGUUCGUUUCACAACAUUACAAUACCCAACCAGCGGGCCCGGACCCGGUAUAUAUGAGCAUGCUCUGUUGGUUUAGUAUAGAAAUCAUACAUGUUUGUUAUUAUAAUGUAAAGUUUGAAAGCCUAUUAAAUAGAAUGACAGGUUAUGUAAAGUUCAUUACAUGCUGUUCUA
RNAcentral lists this long non-coding RNA (3793 nucleotides) under Helianthus annuus (common sunflower). The record is from RNAcentral. Lineage: Eukaryota; Viridiplantae; Streptophyta; Magnoliopsida; Asterales; Asteraceae.